GUCCACGCCGUAAACGUUGGGAACUAGGUGUGGGUCUCAUUCCACGAGAUCCGUGCCGCAGCUAACGCAUUAAGUUCCCCGCCUGGGGAGUACGGCCGCAAGGCUAAAACUCAAAGGAAUUGACGGGGCCCGCACAAGCGGCGGAGCAUGUGGAUUAAUUCGAUGCAACGCGAAGAACCUUACCAAGGCUUGACAUACACCGGAAACAUCCAGAGAUGGGUGCCCCGCAAGGUCGGUGUACAGGUGGUGCAUGGUUGUCGU
Molecule: ribosomal RNA, 261 nt
Filed under: uncultured bacterium
Lineage: Bacteria
Description: partial 16S ribosomal RNA
Rfam family: Bacterial small subunit ribosomal RNA
Source: RNAcentral